RNAcentral lists this ribosomal RNA (253 nucleotides) under uncultured bacterium. Its description in RNAcentral is "partial 16S ribosomal RNA". It matches the Rfam family "Bacterial small subunit ribosomal RNA", at positions 524 to 776 of the family's 1533-position model. The record is from RNAcentral.
UACGUAGGGUGCGAGCGUUAAUCGGAAUUACUGGGCGUAAAGCGUGCGCAGGCGGGUCGUUAAGUUCGUUGUGAAUGCCCCGGGCUCAACCUGGGAACUGCAAUGGAAACUGGCGGGCUUGAGUGUGGCAGAGGGGGGUGGAAUUCCGCGUGUAGCAGUGAAAUGCGUAGAGAUGCGGAGGAACACCGAUGGCGAAGGCAGCCCCCUGGGCCAACACUGACGCUCAGGCACGAAAGCGUGGGGAGCAAACGGG